GGUUAAGCGACUAAGCGUACACGGUGGAUGCCCUGGCAGUCAGAGGCGAUGAAGGACGUGCUAAUCUGCGAUAAGCGUCGGUAAGGUGAUAUGAACCGUUAUAACCGGCGAUUUCCGAAUGGGGAAACCCAGUGUGUUUCGACACACUAUCAUUAACUGAAUCCAUAGGUUAAUGAGGCGAACCGGGGAACUGAAACAUCUAAGUACCCCGAGGAAAAGAAAUCAACCGAGAUUCCCCCAGUAGCGGCGAGCGAACGGGGAGGAGCCCAGAGCCUGAAUCAGUGUGUGUGUUAGUGGAAGCGUCUGGAAAGGCGCGCGAUACAGGGUGACAGCCCCGUACACAAAAAUGCACAUACUGUGAGCUCGAUGAGUAGGGCGGGACACGUGGUAUCCUGUCUGAAUAUGGGGGACCAUCCUCCAAGGCUAAAUACUCCUGACUGACCGAUAGUGAACCAGUACCGUGAGGGAAAGGCGAAAAGAACCCCGGCGAGGGGAGUGAAAAAGAACCUGAAACCGUGUACGUACAAGCAGUGGGAGCCUCUUUAUGGGGUGACUGCGUACCUUUUGUAUAAUGGGUCAGCGACUUAUAUUCUGUAGCAAGGUUAACCGAAUAGGGGAGCCGAAGGGAAACCGAGUCUUAACUGGGCGUUAAGUUGCAGGGUAUAGACCCGAAACCCGGUGAUCUAGCCAUGGGCAGGUUGAAGGUUGGGUAACACUAACUGGAGGACCGAACCGACUAAUGUUGAAAAAUUAGCGGAUGACUUGUGGCUGGGGGUGAAAGGCCAAUCAAACCGGGAGAUAGCUGGUUCUCCCCGAAAGCUAUUUAGGUAGCGCCUCGUGAAUUCAUCUCCGGGGGUAGAGCACUGUUUCGGCAAGGGGGUCAUCCCGACUUACCAACCCGAUGCAAACUGCGAAUACCGGAGAAUGUUAUCACGGGAGACACACGGCGGGUGCUAACGUCCGUCGUGAAGAGGGAAACAACCCAGACCGCCAGCUAAGGUCCCAAAGUCAUGGUUAAGUGGGAAACGAUGUGGGAAGGCCCAGACAGCCAGGAUGUUGGCUUAGAAGCAGCCAUCAUUUAAAGAAAGCGUAAUAGCUCACUGGUCGAGUCGGCCUGCGCGGAAGAUGUAACGGGGCUAAACCAUGCACCGAAGCUGCGGCAGCGACGCUUAUGCGUUGUUGGGUAGGGGAGCGUUCUGUAAGCCUGCGAAGGUGUGCUGUGAGGCAUGCUGGAGGUAUCAGAAGUGCGAAUGCUGACAUAAGUAACGAUAAAGCGGGUGAAAAGCCCGCUCGCCGGAAGACCAAGGGUUCCUGUCCAACGUUAAUCGGGGCAGGGUGAGUCGACCCCUAAGGCGAGGCCGAAAGGCGUAGUCGAUGGGAAACAGGUUAAUAUUCCUGUACUUGGUGUUACUGCGAAGGGGGACGGAGAAGGCUAUGUUGGUCGGGCGACGGUUGUCCCGGUUUAAGCGUGUAGGCUGGUUUUCCAGGCAAAUCCGGAAAAUCAAGGCUGAGGCGUGAUGACGAGGCACUACGGUGCUGAAGCAACAAAUGCCCUGCUUCCAGGAAAAGCCUCUAAGCAUCAGGUAACAUCAAAUCGUACCCCAAACCGACACAGGUGGUCAGGUAGAGAAUACCAAGGCGCUUGAGAGAACUCGGGUGAAGGAACUAGGCAAAAUGGUGCCGUAACUUCGGGAGAAGGCACGCUGAUAUGUAGGUGAAGCGACUUGCUCGUGGAGCUGAAAUCAGUCGAAGAUACCAGCUGGCUGCAACUGUUUAUUAAAAACACAGCACUGUGCAAACACGAAAGUGGACGUAUACGGUGUGACGCCUGCCCGGUGCCGGAAGGUUAAUUGAUGGGGUUAGCGGUAACGCGAAGCUCUUGAUCGAAGCCCCGGUAAACGGCGGUACCGUAACUAUAACGGUCCUAAGGUAGCGAAAUUCCUUGUCGGGUAAGUUCCGACCUGCACGAAUGGCGUAAUGAUGGCCAGGCUGUCUCCACCCGAGACUCAGUGAAAUUGAACUCGCUGUGAAGAUGCAGUGUACCCGCGGCAAGACGGAAAGACCCCGUGAACCUUUACUAUAGCUUGACACUGAACAUUGAGCCUUGAUGUGUAGGAUAGGUGGGAGGCUUUGAAGUGUGGACGCCAGUCUGCAUGGAGCCGACCUUGAAAUACCACCCUUUAAUGUUUGAUGUUCUAACGUUGGCCCCUGAUCGGGGUUGCGGACAGUGUCUGGUGGGUAGUUUGACUGGGGCGGUCUCCUCCUAAAGAGUAACGGAGGAGCACGAAGGUUGGCUAAUCCUGGUCGGACAUCAGGAGGUUAGUGCAAUGGCAUAAGCCAGCUUGACUGCGAGCGUGACGGCGCGAGCAGGUGCGAAAGCAGGUCAUAGUGAUCCGGUGGUUCUGAAUGGAAGGGCCAUCGCUCAACGGAUAAAAGGUACUCCGGGGAUAACAGGCUGAUACCGCCCAAGAGUUCAUAUCGACGGCGGUGUUUGGCACCUCGAUGUCGGCUCAUCACAUCCUGGGGCUGAAGUAGGUCCCAAGGGUAUGGCUGUUCGCCAUUUAAAGUGGUACGCGAGCUGGGUUUAGAACGUCGUGAGACAGUUCGGUCCCUAUCUGCCGUGGGCGCUGGAGAACUGAGGGGGCUGCUCCUAGUACGAGAGGACCGGAGUGGACGCAUCACUGGUGUUCGGGUUGUCAUGCCAAUGGCACUGCCCGGUAGCUAAAUGCGGAAGAGAUAAGUGCUGAAAGCAUCUAAGCACGAAACUUGCCCCGAGAUGAGUUCUCCCUGAGACUUUAAGUCUCCUGAAGGAACGUUGAAGACGACGACGUUGAUAGGCCGGGUGUGUAAGCGCAGCGAUGCGUUGAGCUAACCGGUACUAAUGAACCGUGAGGCUUAACCUU
Molecule: ribosomal RNA, 2903 nt
Filed under: Escherichia coli
Lineage: Bacteria; Pseudomonadati; Pseudomonadota; Gammaproteobacteria; Enterobacterales; Enterobacteriaceae
Description: 23S ribosomal RNA
Rfam family: Bacterial large subunit ribosomal RNA
Source: RNAcentral